Arachis ipaensis is the source of this 920-nucleotide non-coding RNA. NCBI's taxonomy places the organism in Eukaryota, Viridiplantae, Streptophyta, Magnoliopsida, Fabales, Fabaceae. The record is from RefSeq and is a predicted model, not a curated record.
UAACAUUUUUGUGGUGGUCUCCCUUAAAAUUUCUCAAGUUAUUUACUGAGUAAUGAUCUACAUAUAAUAUUAAGUUAACCCUUCGCCGUUCACAUGCUGUAGAUAGGAUCAUAAUAGUUAACAAUGAUAUUGCUGUAUGAUAGCUACCAAAUAAGAAUGUUCAUAGGGGAACCAUCAGAAUUAUUAAGCCAUCAGAAUUGUUUACUUGGGGAAACCAUCAGAAUUGCAAUUUUGGGGAAACCAUAGAUAUUGCUGUCUUUUAAAUUGCAAUUUUGGGGAAACCAUCAGAAUGUUCAUAGGGAAACCAUCAAUUAAUCAAUCAAGCAAUGAAUUUAUUAAGCCAUGCCUAGCUUCAAUGCAUAUAGGGGAUCAAUAGGCUUCUCUGCCAUCUAAGCUAUAUUGGAAUAUCUUCUCUGCCAGCUAAGGAUCAAGAUUCUAUGCCACCAGAAAUGUUGUUAUUUUAUACAGCAAAGAUUUGGAGACCAACUCAUGGACCCAAAUCAUGCCUCAAUAUUGAAGUCAUCUGCAGCUCCUGGCCAGCCUUCAGGCAAGUUUUGCACGGUGCUGUUAGUGCGAUGUCUCCACAAGUUCAAGGUGGUAGUCAGCAAUUACCAGGGUCUACUCCGGAUCAAAUCAAGGCAGCAACAAUUUGACUUUGAAGGGGUGGCUACUCAUACCGUGACAGGAGAGGUUCGUUCCUACAAUCUUUGUAAGAGAUGAGUUUGGAUAAUGAAAUUGGAGUGUUGGACCAAGAGACAAAGAUGUUGGAGCAAGUUCCCGGGAUGAAACAUCACUUAUUAGAUGGUUUAAAUACAUUAUUAGACAUUAACAUAGUUUAGGGAAAUGGAUGGUAGAUUUGAUUGAUUAGUGUUUAUUGUAAUGCUUGUAUUUUGGUAAGUUUAGUAAGACAAGGUUUUGUA